GACGAACGCUGGCGGCGUGCUUAACACAUGCAAGUCGAACGGAAAGGCCCUGCUUUUGUGGGGUGCUCGUGUGGCGAACGCGUGUGUAACACGUGAGUAACCUGCCCUUGACUUUGGGAUAUCUUCAGGAAACUGCGGCUAAUACCGGAUAGGAGCUCCUGCUGCAUGGUGUGGGUUGGUAAGUUUCGGCGGUUGGGGAUGGACUCGCGGCUUAUCAGCUUGUUGGUGGGGUAGUGGCUUACCAAGGGUUUGACGGGUAGCCGGCCUGAGAGGGUGACCGGGGACAUGGGGACUGAGGUAGGGCCCAGACUGCUACGGGAGGCAGCAGUGGGGAAUAUUGCACAAUGGGCGGAAGCCUGAUGCAGAAACGCCGGGUGCGGGAUGACGGCCUUCGGGUUGUAAACAGCUUUGGAAGGUGACGAAGCGUGAGUGACGGUAAUGGGUAAAGAAGCACCGGCUAACUACGUG
RNAcentral lists this ribosomal RNA (468 nucleotides) under uncultured bacterium. RNAcentral describes it as "partial 16S ribosomal RNA". It matches the Rfam family "Bacterial small subunit ribosomal RNA", at positions 28 to 507 of the family's 1533-position model. The record is from RNAcentral.